This 253-nucleotide ribosomal RNA is filed under the name uncultured bacterium. Its description in RNAcentral is "partial 16S ribosomal RNA". It matches the Rfam family "Bacterial small subunit ribosomal RNA", at positions 524 to 776 of the family's 1533-position model. The record is from RNAcentral.
UACAGAGGGGGCAAGCGUUGUUCGGAAUUACUGGGCGUAAAGGGCGCGUAGGCGGCCUGCUAAGUCGAACGUGAAAUCCCUGGGCUCAACCCAGGAACUGCGUCCGAUACUGGUUGGCUUGAAUCCGGGAGAGGGAUGUGGAAUUCCAGGUGUAGCGGUGAAAUGCGUAGAUAUCUGGAGGAACACCGGUGGCGAAGGCGGUUCUCUGGGCCUUACCUGACGCUGAGGAGCGAAAGCGUGGGGAGCAAACAGG